RNAcentral lists this long non-coding RNA (451 nucleotides) under Bos taurus (domestic cattle). RNAcentral's name for it is "long non-coding RNA NONBTAT020280". The record is from RNAcentral. Lineage: Eukaryota; Metazoa; Chordata; Mammalia; Artiodactyla; Bovidae.
GAGUGGUAGAAAGCUAGUUAUCUUUUAUUAAACAAAAAACGUUUCAUCAACAGCUACCCCAGAAGCCAGGGACACUUUAGAACUUAGAAGGAAUGUACAAUAAUGAUUACACUUUACAUUAAACAGCAUGAAGUUUAGAAGGAUCCCACGUGAAGUGUAUGCAGUGUUUGUUUAUGAAGGUCUCCAUUACAGAAGACCUCAGCUGAGAGGAAGUGGGAUGCCGGAGUCUCACUUUGCUGACCUGGCUUUCGACGAGCACAAUAAUUCACAAUAACAGAAGAAAGGAAGGCUCUGGCGCCAUAACUCAGUGAAUAUCCUCUGGAUUCGUCUCUCCUACAAGAUACAAUAAUAUACCCUUUUUUGGCCCUCUCCCAACUUUCCAUUUGAAAUAGGAUUAAAAUCAGUUUUCAGAGUGGCUUACUCAGGAAUUAACUAACCAAUCCCUGGAUAA